GAACCGCUCCGGUGGCCUAGUGGUUAGAGCGUCCACUUCAGAUGUGGGAGGUCGUGGGUUCAAAAUCCCAGCCAAUUCA
Non-coding RNA from Potamilus streckersoni, 79 nucleotides. NCBI's taxonomy places the organism in Eukaryota, Metazoa, Mollusca, Bivalvia, Unionida, Unionidae. The record is from the annotation of a GenBank genome assembly.